GAUGAACGCUGGCGGCGUGCCUAAUACAUGCAAGUCGAGCGAACGGACGAGAAGCUUGCUUUUCUGAUGUUAGCGGCGGACGGGUGAGUAACACGUGGAUAACCUACCUAUAAGACUGGGAUAACUUCGGGAAACCGGAGCUAAUACCGGAUAAUAUUUUGAACCGCAUGGUUCAAAAGUGAAAGACGGUCUUGCUGUCACUUAUAGAUGGAUCCGCGCUGCAUUAGCUAGUUGGUAAGGUAACGGCUUACCAAGGCAACGAUGCAUAGCCGACCUGAGAGGGUGAUCGGCCACACUGGAACUGAGACACGGUCCAGACUCCUACGGGAGGCAGCAGUAGGGAAUCUUCCGCAAUGGGCGAAAGCCUGACGGAGCAACGCCGCGUGAGUGAUGAAGGUCUUCGGAUCGUAAAACUCUGUUAUUAGGGAAGAACAUAUGUGUAAGUAACUAUGCACAUCUUGACGGUACCUAAUCAGAAAGCCACGGCUAACUACGUGCCAGCAGCCGCGGUAAUACGUAGGUGGCAAGCGUUAUCCGGAAUUAUUGGGCGUAAAGCGCGCGUAGGCGGUUUUUUAAGUCUGAUGUGAAAGCCCACGGCUCAACCGUGGAGGGUCAUUGGAAACUGGAAAACUUGAGUGCAGAAGAGGAAAGUGGAAUUCCAUGUGUAGCGGUGAAAUGCGCAGAGAUAUGGAGGAACACCAGUGGCGAAGGCGACUUUCUGGUCUGUAACUGACGCUGAUGUGCGAAAGCGUGGGGAUCAAACAGGAUUAGAUACCCUGGUAGUCCACGCCGUAAACGAUGAGUGCUAAGUGUUAGGGGGUUUCCGCCCCUUAGUGCUGCAGCUAACGCAUUAAGCACUCCGCCUGGGGAGUACGACCGCAAGGUUGAAACUCAAAGGAAUUGACGGGGACCCGCACAAGCGGUGGAGCAUGUGGUUUAAUUCGAAGCAACGCGAAGAACCUUACCAAAUCUUGACAUCCUUUGACAACUCUAGAGAUAGAGCCUUCCCCUUCGGGGGACAAAGUGACAGGUGGUGCAUGGUUGUCGUCAGCUCGUGUCGUGAGAUGUUGGGUUAAGUCCCGCAACGAGCGCAACCCUUAAGCUUAGUUGCCAUCAUUAAGUUGGGCACUCUAAGUUGACUGCCGGUGACAAACCGGAGGAAGGUGGGGAUGACGUCAAAUCAUCAUGCCCCUUAUGAUUUGGGCUACACACGUGCUACAAUGGACAAUACAAAGGGCAGCGAAACCGCGAGGUCAAGCAAAUCCCAUAAAGUUGUUCUCAGUUCGGAUUGUAGUCUGCAACUCGACUACAUGAAGCUGGAAUCGCUAGUAAUCGUAGAUCAGCAUGCUACGGUGAAUACGUUCCCGGGUCU
RNAcentral lists this ribosomal RNA (1372 nucleotides) under uncultured bacterium. RNAcentral's name for it is "bacterial SSU rRNA". It matches the Rfam family "Bacterial small subunit ribosomal RNA", at positions 28 to 1381 of the family's 1533-position model. The record is from RNAcentral.